RNAcentral lists this ribosomal RNA (536 nucleotides) under uncultured bacterium. Its description in RNAcentral is "bacterial SSU rRNA". It matches the Rfam family "Bacterial small subunit ribosomal RNA", at positions 355 to 883 of the family's 1533-position model. The record is from RNAcentral.
UGGGGAAUUUUGGACAAUGGGGGCAACCCUGAUCCAGCCAUUCCGCGUGAGUGAAGAAGGCCUUCGGGUUGUAAAGCUCUUUCAGCUGGAACGAAACGGUGCGCUCUAACAUAGCGUGCUAAUGACGGUACCAGCAGAAGAAGCACCGGCUAACUACGUGCCAGCAGCCGCGGUAAUACGUAGGGUGCGAGCGUUAAUCGGAAUUACUGGGCGUAAAGCGUGCGCAGGCGGAUUGUUAAGCAAGAUGUGAAAUCCCCGGGCUUAACCUGGGAACGGCAUUUUGAACUGGCAGUCUAGAGUGCGUCAGAGGGGGGUGGAAUUCCACGUGUAGCAGUGAAAUGCGUAGAGAUGUGGAGGAACACCAAUGGCGAAGGCAGCCCCCUGGGAUGACACUGACGCUCAUGUACGAAAGCGUGGGUAGCAAACAGGAUUAGAUACCCUGGUAGUCCACGCCCUAAACGAUGUCAACUGGUUGUUGGGGGAGUGAAAUCCCUUAGUAACGAAGCUAACGCGUGAAGUGACCGCCUGGAGACGGA